RNAcentral lists this ribosomal RNA (253 nucleotides) under uncultured bacterium. RNAcentral's name for it is "partial 16S ribosomal RNA". It matches the Rfam family "Bacterial small subunit ribosomal RNA", at positions 524 to 776 of the family's 1533-position model. The record is from RNAcentral.
UACGGAGGGGGCUAGCGUUGUUCGGAAUUACUGGGCGUAAAGGGCGCGUAGGCGGCCUGCUAAGUCGAACGUGAAAUCCCUGGGCUCAACCCAGGAACUGCGUCCGAUACUGGUUGGCUUGAAUCCGGGAGAGGGAUGUGGAAUUCCAGGUGUAGCGGUGAAAUGCGUAGAUAUCUGGAGGAACACCGGUGGCGAAGGCGACAUCCUGGACCGGUAUUGACGCUGAGGCGCGAAAGCCAGGGGAGCAAACGGG